RNAcentral lists this long non-coding RNA (349 nucleotides) under Setaria italica (foxtail millet). RNAcentral's name for it is "long non-coding RNA (SITA_LNC006060)". The record is from RNAcentral. Lineage: Eukaryota; Viridiplantae; Streptophyta; Magnoliopsida; Poales; Poaceae.
CCAAAUCAACGAGCUGCCAAAUUGAGCAUAGCCUAGCCAUAACAAGCAUCAGGAACAUCAAAUUGACAAACAACGCCAUGGAAUCCAGCUUGACUCUCCUUCCCGCGCAUCUCUUGGCUGCUGCCAUGCAGGGGCAACAACGGCAAGCAAAAGGGGGAUCUGGCCUGGGGCUCGGGAGAGGAAGCAGCAAGCGGCAACGCGCCGGAGCGGCACUCGCGGGCUGGAGUAGUUGCGUGGGGCACGCCGGCAACAUCGCACAGCAGGCUCUGGCAUGGGCGCCUACGCGAGACGGGUGGAGGGAGAGAAGGAGAUAGGGAAAGAGAGGUAGAAGAAGAAGAUGAAGGCUGAC